This 1347-nucleotide ribosomal RNA is filed under the name uncultured bacterium. RNAcentral describes it as "bacterial SSU rRNA". It matches the Rfam family "Bacterial small subunit ribosomal RNA", at positions 28 to 1381 of the family's 1533-position model. The record is from RNAcentral.
GACGAACGCUGGCGGCGUGCUUAACACAUGCAAGUCGAACGAUGAAGCCCAGCUUGCUGGGCGGAUUAGUGGCGAACGGGUGAGUAAUACGUGAGUAACCUGCCUUUAACUCUGGGAUAAGCCUUGGAAACGGGGUCUAAUACCGGAUACGACCAACCCUCGCAUGGGGUGUUGGUGGAAAGGGAUUUUGUACUGGUUUUAGAUGGGCUCACGGCCUAUCAGCUUGUUGGUGAGGUAACGGCUCACCAAGGCGACGACGGGUAGCCGGCCUGAGAGGGUGACCGGCCACACUGGGACUGAGACACGGCCCAGACUCCUACGGGAGGCAGCAGUGGGGAAUAUUGCACAAUGGGCGCAAGCCUGAUGCAGCGACGCCGCGUGAGGGAUGACGGCCUUCGGGUUGUAAACCUCUUUCAGCAGGGGAGAAGCGAAAGUGACGGUACCUGCAGAAGAAGCGCCGGCUAACUACGUGCCAGCAGCCGCGGUAAUACGUAGGGCGCGAGCGUUGUCCGGAAUUAUUGGGCGUAAAGAGCUUGUAGGCGGUUUGUCGCGUCUGCUGUGAAGCCCGGGGCUUAACCCCGGGUUUGCAGUGGGUACGGGCAGACUAGAGUGCAGUAGGGGAGACUGGAAUUCCUGGUGUAGCGGUGAAAUGCGCAGAUAUCAGGAGGAACACCAAUGGCGAAGGCAGGUCUCUGGGCUGUAACUGACGCUGAGAAGCGAAAGCAUGGGGAGCGAACAGGAUUAGAUACCCUGGUAGUCCAUGCCGUAAACGUUGGGCACUAGGUGUGGGGAACAUUCCACGUUUUCCGCGCCGUAGCUAACGCAUUAAGUGCCCCGCCUGGGGAGUACGGCCGCAAGGCUAAAACUCAAAGAAAUUGACGGGGGCCCGCACAAGCGGCGGAGCAUGCGGAUUAAUUCGAUGCAACGCGAAGAACCUUACCAAGGCUUGACAUAUACUAGAUCGCCUCAGAGAUGGGGUUUCCCUUCGGGGCUGGUAUACAGGUGGUGCAUGGUUGUCGUCAGCUCGUGUCGUGAGAUGUUGGGUUAAGUCCCGCAACGAGCGCAACCCUCGUUCUAUGUUGCCAGCACGUAAUGGUGGGGACUCAUAGGAGACUGCCGGGGUUAACUCGGAGGAAGGUGGGGAUGACGUCAAAUCAUCAUGCCCCUUAUGUCUUGGGCUUCACGCAUGCUACAAUGGCCGGUACAAAGGGUUGCGAUACUGUGAGGUUGAGCUAAUCCCAAAAAGCCGGUCUCAGUUCGGAUUGGGGUCUGCAACUCGACCCCAUGAAGUCGGAGUCGCUAGUAAUCGCAGAUCAGCAACGCUGCGGUGAAUACGUUCCCGGGCCU